Molecule: antisense RNA, 69 nt
Filed under: Actinoplanes awajinensis subsp. mycoplanecinus
Lineage: Bacteria; Bacillati; Actinomycetota; Actinomycetes; Micromonosporales; Micromonosporaceae
Description: ASpks TB sRNA
Rfam family: ASpks TB sRNA
Source: Rfam by way of RNAcentral
CUUCAGCGAACCCAGCAGCAGCGGCCGUUCCCGCUGCUGGCCGUACGUGGCGAGCAGGGCCUGCGCCUC